GAAACUCGAAAUUUCGGUCCGUUUGAGGUACAGCAUCAAUGGACGACGUCAGAUGCAGGGAAUCUUGUUCGACAGCUCAACCUAUCCUAUGAGAAAGGAGAGCAAAAGACUGAUCAGAUCGUGCGUCAGUUCUGUGUGAACCUAUGGAAGCCCGGCUCGGUGGUACCGGCCUCAGCAGAGCGGUUGAUCAACCUGCAGAAGACUGUUCAGGAAUGGCAGAGACAGAAUGACAACAGGCCCAUCAUCGUCCACUGCGUGAAUGGCGUGGACAAAACCGUGCUGCUGUGUACCUGUUUCACUGUGUUGGAGAAACUAAAAGCGGAACAUAUGAUCAGUG
Long non-coding RNA from Liolophura sinensis, 337 nucleotides. RefSeq lists it as uncharacterized. The record is from RefSeq and is a predicted model, not a curated record. NCBI's taxonomy places the organism in Eukaryota, Metazoa, Mollusca, Polyplacophora, Chitonida, Chitonidae. The transcript is spliced from 3 exons.